GGCUGCAACUCGCCUACAUGAAGUCGGAGUUGCUAGUAAUCGCGGAUCAGAAUGCCGCGGUGAAUGCGUUCCCGGGUCUUGUACACACCGCCCGUCACACCAUGGAAGUUGGGGGCGCCCGAAGUUGGUCGGGAAAUAGAUUACUUAAGGCGAAACCAAUGACUGGGGUGAAGUCGUAACAAGGUAGC
RNAcentral lists this ribosomal RNA (188 nucleotides) under uncultured bacterium. RNAcentral describes it as "partial 16S ribosomal RNA". It matches the Rfam family "Bacterial small subunit ribosomal RNA", at positions 1303 to 1500 of the family's 1533-position model. The record is from RNAcentral.